This 301-nucleotide ribosomal RNA is filed under the name uncultured bacterium. Its description in RNAcentral is "partial 16S ribosomal RNA". It matches the Rfam family "Bacterial small subunit ribosomal RNA", at positions 509 to 809 of the family's 1533-position model. The record is from RNAcentral.
CAGUAGCCGCGGGAAUACGGAGGAUCCAAGCGUUAUCCGGAUUUAUUGGGUUUAAAGGGUGCGUAGGUGGCCUGUUAAGUCAGGGGUGAAAGACGGUAGCUUAACUAUCGCAGUGCCUUUGAUACUGACGGGCUUGAAUACACUAGAGGUAGGCGGAAUGUGACAAGUAGCGGUGAAAUGCAUAGAUAUGUCACAGAACACCAAUUGCGAAGGCAGCUUACUAUGGUGUCAUUGACACUGAGGCACGAAAGCGUGGGGAUCAAACAGGAUUAGAUACCCCUGUAGUCCCUGUCUCUUAUAA